This is a non-coding RNA of Arachis ipaensis, 155 nucleotides long. NCBI's taxonomy places the organism in Eukaryota, Viridiplantae, Streptophyta, Magnoliopsida, Fabales, Fabaceae. The record is from RefSeq and is a predicted model, not a curated record.
AUUCGGCAACUUCGUGGUGACAGUGAUGGCAGGAUGCGACGGCGACGGUGGUACCGGGCCGGCGAUGCUCUUCUUCCCUUCCGCCGGCGCUAUCUCUUCCUCCGAUCUCCUCUCUGCGCGUGUGUGUGUAUUUUUUUUAUGUAUAGGAAAAGAAG